GUGAAGGUGAUCUGUGACCUGUCACCCAUGGGUUGCUGGGGUGGAUUUGGCUGAUGUAGUUGACUAGACUAGUGUUUCCCUUCCUCCCUCACUGUCAGUGUCCCUCUGGAAGCUGUCUGCUUGGUUGGUCAAAGAGAAUGACCUCUGCCGGUAGAGGUCAAGGGUGUAGGAGUAGCCAAGCUGCCUUUCCAGAAUCUCCCACAAGCUCACACAUAGACCUUCUCUAGCAUUGUCUCUAUAGCUCAGGAACACCAGCAGCUUUAUAAUUAUCCCAGCCUCUCUUCAUGGUCUGNAAAUGGCU
RNAcentral lists this small nuclear RNA (301 nucleotides) under Neotoma lepida (desert woodrat). Its description in RNAcentral is "7SK RNA". It matches the Rfam family "7SK RNA". From Rfam's summary of the family: 7SK was discovered as an abundant small nuclear RNA in the mid-70s but a possible function has only recently been suggested. Lineage: Eukaryota; Metazoa; Chordata; Mammalia; Rodentia; Cricetidae. The record is from Rfam by way of RNAcentral.